RNAcentral lists this ribosomal RNA (429 nucleotides) under bacterium. Its description in RNAcentral is "partial 16S ribosomal RNA". It matches the Rfam family "Bacterial small subunit ribosomal RNA", at positions 355 to 776 of the family's 1533-position model. RNAcentral also lists the same sequence under 1 other name. The record is from RNAcentral.
UAGGGAAUCUUCCACAAUGGACGCAAGUCUGAUGGAGCAACGCCGCGUGAGUGAAGAAGGUUUUCGGAUCGUAAAGCUCUGUUGUUGGUGAAGAAGGAUAGAGGCAGUAACUGGUCUUUAUUUGACGGUAAUCAACCAGAAAGUCACGGCUAACUACUUGCCAGCAGCCGCGGUAAUACGUAGGUGGCAAGCGUUGUCCGGAUUUAUUGGGCGUAAAGCGAGCGCAGGCGGAAUGAUAAGUCUGAUGUGAAAGCCCACGGCUCAACCGUGGAACUGCAUCGGAAACUGUCAUUCUUGAGUGCAGAAGAGGAGAGUGGAAUUCCAUGUGUAGCGGUGGAAUGCGUAGAUAUAUGGAAGAACACCAGUGGCGAAGGCGGCUCUCUGGUCUGCAACUGACGCUGAGGCUCGAAAGCAUGGGUAGCGAACAGG